GGAGGAGGAGGAGAAGAAGAAGAGUUUGGAGCUGCUGCUAAUGCUGUUGCUACUCGCGGAGGAACGUUGUCGCUAGGCCGGGAAUUAAGCGGGGCUAGCGUUUAGGCUCUGUUCUGGUCGUUCCUUAAGUUCGCCGUGUUCUGUCCCUGUGUUUUGUGCCAAAGACGUCCGGGCUGUAGGUUGGAAGGGCGUUGGGAGUCGAUAGGGCAUCUCCUUAGAGCUCUGUGGGUGGGUGGGGUGAGGUGACCACCGUCACCCCGGGCAUUUUGGGAGGUGGUGCAAGGCCGCAUUCCAAACGUCCCUUUGGAAACCUGCCAACUGAGUGUCGUGGCUUGUGCUAUAUACAGAAUUUCUCAGAAUCACGGAACGAAUUAGGUUGGAAAGGCCUGUGAGAUCAUCGAGUCCAACCUUUGAACACCACCAUGUCAAUUACACCGUGGCACAAAGUGCCGCCUCUAGUACUUAAACACCAAAGCAAUCCUGUGGAGUUUGGAAAACUUUGUUUUAUUUUAAGCUGGCUUCUCUUGUCAAACAAAAAAGCCCCAUUAAUCCUUUUGUGAGAAAGAAAAAUGUUUUCGUAUCAAUUAGAGUUCUAUUGGACUUUUUAUUAUCAGCUAAUUAAACGUGUUUCAGAUUCUCACAAAAUAAUAGAAUCAAAUAAAAUGUACUUCAUUCCCGCUAAACAAAUGUACGGGUACAAGUACUUGCACUUGUACUAAGCAUAAAGUAUUAGUGCAAGUGUAAGGUAGGAAGCCAGAUCAUGGAUUUGCAGAAAUCUUGGAGGUGAUCAAACGCACGGCAGAGCUGGCAUCUCCCCACGUGUUCCAUGGCAAAGGGUGACGUCUUUGAUCAGCCCCCCCAUCCUGCCUUGGCUUUAAACUGAGGUGCUGACUGGAAUCUGAAGCAGCUGCCAAAUGAACACAUCCUGAGGUGGCAGUUUGCCUUCUGUUGGCUGAAUACAGCAGGUGGUUGGCUUCAGCAGUGUCUUAGAGUGUGUUUGUAAAAAUGUAGACAGAGGUUUUUAGAGACAAAUAAAUUUUCUCUCGUUUAAAUGUUGGUUUAUAAUGCCCUCCCUAGGAUGUACUAUGUACUGUUUCUGGUCUCUCCUUUCCUUACAUGGUUCUGUUCUUCACCCUGUCUCCUUUCCCCAAACUGUCCUUUUUCAUACUUGAUUCUUCUUUCACACUUUUUUGUCAUUGGCACUUGGUCAUAGUAUUACGUGUUUUUUCUUCCCUUGGCAUGUUCCUACUCUUUCUUGUGAGUUAAGUUGUUCUGUUUCUACCCUUGGCACUCCUGGACAAUGGGAAGAUAGAGCCCAGAGCAUGGUAAGGCAUUCUUCUUUUAAGGAAUUUAAGGAAUAAAGUUUGCAAGUUUUAUUCAGUGCAGAGAGGGACUUUUUGGGGAUCUUGUCUUUUAACACAGUAUGAUUUCAGAGUUUUCUAACACUAAAUAAGGUUAAGGCAGUAAAAAUGCACUCUCAGCCUUAUAUAGAUAUCCAAAAAGAGUUCAAAUCAUCGUUUAAAAGCACUGUAGCUUUCUAAGUAAACUUGUGCAGUGUUUGUUCUUUGAUCAAAAUAAUAUAUUCUUGGGUCUUGUCCUCAUAGAUUGCACUCCUUUGGCUUUGACCUGAAACAAGGAUUGUAACUUAGUAAAAGUUUUACUGUCUAUUCCUUUCCCACCACCCUCCUGAAAGCGGCAGAUGGGACUUCAGAUAAAAGCCUUGUCACAGUAGCAGAUUUGCACUUUUCCCCUUGGGCUUUGUAUGAGUCUGCAAAGAAAGGAAGUCAGUGAGCAGAUGAAGAGCAGCACUGGGCUACAAAUGGAGCAGGAGCUUUCCUGCCAACCAGGAUAACCACAAAGCCAAAGAACCCAUCUGGAAGUGGUCCUUGGCCCCUCAGCAGCUGGGGCUGUUCUCCUCCCAGCUGAGAGUGACUCUGCUUCCCCUGCUGCAAGGGAGUCAAACUUGUCCAGUUACCUGCGGACCCAAGGGACAGGUAACAAAACAUCAGGUAAAGCAAAAAUUAGCAAAAGAUGUAACAAUAUGCAAAUUCCCCACCCUUCCUAGAAAAUAUGACAAUUCACUGCCUUUGACUGGGGAGCUGAAGCAUGUAUUGAACUGGGACUGCUUGAAUCUCAGCCAACCCUGCAGAGGAGCAGAGGGAAAGCACUGGCUGCUGGAGCCUGCAGCACGUGCUGCCUGCUUGUGGGUGGCUUAGAGACAUCUGAACAUUUUGGUGGUGGUCUGCUUCUAAGAAAUGUUCAUCCUGCUCUUAACAUCUGUACCUCAAUGUCCAUCCAUACAUUGCAUGCACCUGCCCAGCUUAUGGGUGUUCUAGUGAGAAAUCCCAAAUCCUUAGUUACGAUGGUGUGUUGUUCCCAUGCAAACUCACUGGAGAGCCUCAUGAUGAAUGCCUGGUGAGGGCUUUGUCCCUCAGGCUGGGGUGUUUGGUGGAUGUAGUAAGAGAGCCAGACACCAGUGACUGGGCCCAGAGAAGUGAGUUACAGUGGUUCAUUGCAACAUCAGCCUUGCUUCACCUUGGCCAAGGAGUGGGUGCCAAGGGUGUUGUACAGUGCAGCACUAGUUCUGCUCCACAAUGAGCUGAUGACUGGGAGGAGAAGGGGAGGGCAAAGCAUGGCACUAGGGCUGUGUAUAACGGAUCCAAAAGGGGGUGGAAGAAAGGGAGUAUGGAGGGAAUUACAUCUAGGUCAGCACUACAGACUUCACUCAAAACAAGAGCUUCCGAAACAUUUCUGAUACUCUCUUUGCUUGGCCUGCAUAGUCUGGGGACCAUCCCAAGUUUCUCUGAGGCAAUCCUUUCCAUCCUGGUUCCUACUACACUCACAUGUGACCUUCCCCCCAGAUCUGCACUUGUUCUGACUGUGCAAGUGACAGGACCCUCUGAAUAAACACAGGAUGUUAGCUGUCAUCCACUGAGGAUGAGAGCAGGGAUGUUCAGGUACUUCAGUGAUCUUGAAUGUGAAAGUCUUCACAAACGUGCACUUGGGUUUGGAGAGGCAGAAAUGCAACGUCAAACAGGUCUUUGAUCGUCACAAGGAUCUGACUUACUUGUGGAUAUAGACUGCUUUCUUCUAGUUGGCUAGGUGUCUUUUCCAGGUAUUUUCCUCUGUACGAACAAGUAUCUUUCAUCUAGCUACACCUUUCAGCUCUGCUGCUGAUGUUUUUGUGCUCUCUGCCUGUGAUACUGUUGAGGCUUAGUUCUCUCCCUUUUUUCCCUCUGUGGAAUUUUCCCCAUUGUCAUGCUAAGAUACCUGUUGACUGGGCCCUGGUGACAAGGGGGAGGGGACGGGAGGGAAGAAGCAAGCCCCGCGAGAUUCAAACAGCCAGAAGAGGAAGCGGAAGGCUGGGCCUCGGCCCAUUUCCCCCCGCGGAGUUGGGACGAGAAGGACGAUCGCUGCCUGUGUCCCAUCCCUGCCAUCCCAGCAUCGGGAAACCACUAUCGGACCCUGCCCGGUUGUCUUCUCGCUGUGAACUACCACCAUCCAGCACUCUGCUGAUCACCGGGACCGACACCGUGAGCGGAGGGCUCUCUCUCCAUCUCUCUCUCUCCCCCUGGGACAGCUCUGCCAUCACCCCCAGCCCUCCUGCGGCUCUGCGGGACCCGCCCGCCCCCAGCACCAGGAACUGCAGCUCAGGGAAAAGGUGCCUGCAGCCAAAAAACACUGGGACUGAGUUACUGUUCUCUUUGUGGGUAAUUUCAUAGCUGUUGUUGUUCUUGUUUGUCUUGUUAGAUAUGCUAGUAAAGAACUGUUAUUCCUACCCCCAUAUCUUUGCCUGAGAGCUCUCUUCAUUCCAAAAUUAUAAUAAUCGGAAGAAUCACAUUUUUUUUUCAGUCCAAAGGGAAGCUUCUGCUUUCCUUGGCAACACCUGUCUUUCAAAUGAGGACAGAUUUUGGUGCCCAACGUGGGGCCCGAGGGCAUUGAGAGAAAAGGGUGAAAAAGGAAUAACAGUUCUUGAGUUACCUCAGUUUUGUGUUAGGUGGCAUCAUGUUGUCCAGCUUACCGUGGUUUGGGCUCCAUGUGGCCACAGUUCUAUCUCUCCCAUUUGCAAUCCCUUACUUGAACAUGGGUCCUAUAACUCAGGCUGCUGUAACUAUUAUCCAGUUCCUUUUGUAGGCUGAUAACGUGAGAAAUUCAUGGAUUUUUAACUUCCUCUGGAAGGUGGGCACAUGGAUUCAGAGCUAUCACACUCUAACUGUAUGUUUUUGGGGCUACUUUAAUAAUGGUACAUACUGUGAGGAUAUGACACCAGGGAAAAUUUUGUCCCAACCCCUUACUCAGUUUUUUGGGUCUGCUCCACCAGCUUUUGAGGGGUUCAAAUCUCUUCUAAGCAGUAAUGAUAUCAUACAGUGGCUGACAUUGCUAAUAGGCCUUGUAAACCUGUUCUAUUUAACAUUCCGAGAUGAGGGGAGAUUGACUUGGAUGACAACCCUGAUACGUCCCCCAAGGAAUAGGGAUCCUGCCCCAGAGCCUGGCCCUGCCCCAGAGCCUGGCUCUGCCCCAGAGACUAAGGAUUCUGCCCCAGAGCCUGACCCUUACCCUGCCCCUGCCCCAGAGACUAAGGAUUCUGCCCCAGAGACUAA
Molecule: long non-coding RNA, 4601 nt
Organism: Cinclus cinclus
Lineage: Eukaryota; Metazoa; Chordata; Aves; Passeriformes; Cinclidae
Exons: 3
Source: RefSeq, a predicted model, not a curated record